RNAcentral lists this ribosomal RNA (497 nucleotides) under uncultured bacterium. RNAcentral's name for it is "bacterial SSU rRNA". It matches the Rfam family "Bacterial small subunit ribosomal RNA", at positions 28 to 509 of the family's 1533-position model. The record is from RNAcentral.
GAUGAACGCUAGCGGCAGGCUUAAUACAUGCAAGUUGAGGGGCAGCAUGAUAUACGCGAGUAUAUUGAUGGCGACCGGCGGACGGGUGAGUAAUAGGUAGGAGACCUACCUCAUACAGGGGGAUAGCAUAGAGAAAUCUGUGGUAAUACCCCAUGAGGUUAUAUGAAUAGAGGCAUAUAAUCAAAGCAUAAGUGAUUAUGCGGUAUGAGAGGGGCCUACUGACCAUUAGCUAGUUGGUGAGGUAAGGGCUCACCAAGGCGAAGAUGGUUAGGGGUUUUGAGAGAGAGACCCCCCCACAUUGGAACUGAGAGACGGUCCAGACUCCUACGGGAGGCAGCAGUAGGGAAUAUUGGGCAAUGGGCGAAAGCCUGACCCAGCCAUGCCGCGUGAAGGAAGACGGCCUUAUGGGUUGUAAACUUCUUUACUACGCGAAUAGAGGUUAGUACGAGAUACUAAUAGGAAGGUAGUGUAGUAAAAGCACCGGCUAACUCCGUGCC